Galleria mellonella (greater wax moth) is the source of this 1107-nucleotide long non-coding RNA. RefSeq lists it as uncharacterized. The record is from RefSeq and is a predicted model, not a curated record. The transcript is spliced from 2 exons. Lineage: Eukaryota; Metazoa; Arthropoda; Insecta; Lepidoptera; Pyralidae.
CAUUAAAAAAAGAUAUUUCAUUAAUUAAAUGAUACACCCGAAAAUAGGUAAACGAAGAAGUAAAAUAAUAUAAAAAAUAACAGGGUCGUAAUAAAUCGUUAGAACAGAUGUAAAUUUUACAACAGAUAAUAACAUUAUGAAAACCCGUAUUCAAGAUCAAGGAGUGACAACCAUGGCUCCGAGGGAUUUAUAAUAAUUUUCACUCCAUCCAAGUCAGAACUCAAAUACUUACAUUGUAAGAAACUGCCUAAUAUUAGAAGUUUUUUACAAGUGUAAUAAGGAAUAUAUAAAAUUUGGUUCCCUUUUUCUAAGUUCUAUUGAAACAAGAAAAUCUUCAUAUUAUGACAAUUCAUAUUACUUCACCAUUUAAAUACUAUUACAUUACUGCAAUUUAUAGGAGUCAUUAUGUCAAGAAUAAGUUUCAGAUAAAGUAUAUAAAAUUAUUUUAUGUAACUAAGUGUAUUUAUAAUUUGUUUAAUAAUAAUUUUAUUGCAUAACCAUGAUUGUAACAAAGUCAACACUGGAAAUUAUAGUAAAAGUAUGAAAAUUCAUUUGUACAUUUGGAUCAGCUUAAACAUCUGUGUCUGAACUAUGUUAUAAAACAUGUAUCUCAGACAACAAGGCUCAAGCUUUCAUUAAAUACAAUAUUAGCUCAGCGAAAUUUUUAGUGCUACAUAUAGAAUGUUGAUUUUAUAUAAAGUUAAUUUUCUAAUUACAAAUAUUAGUAGUGAAAAUUGAGAAAAAAAAAAUCGAAAGAAAUUGUUUCAAAAAUAGUAGCAAACAAACAAAUGGAAUGCCUUAUCCCAUUGAAUGAAACACUAAGAGUUACAAUGUAUGCGUUGCCGACCAUAACGUAAACAUUCUAAACUUUACAUUAUAGAUCUAUGGAUUUUAACACGAGGAGUCGAGGACUGAAAUAAACAUAAUAUAUACAAGUGUUAUGUUUACGUUAAAAUAGUUUAGUACGUUGUUAUUAUAGUAAUAAUCUACAACAUACAUGUAAUGUACACUGUCAUUAAAUAAUAAAAUGUUAGUGUUGGAAUUGUAUCUAUUUGCAUACAUUAAUUUCUAAGUAAUGUCAAAUAGUAAAAACUUUUUUAUUAUCAA